Molecule: ribosomal RNA, 270 nt
Filed under: Triticum aestivum (bread wheat)
Lineage: Eukaryota; Viridiplantae; Streptophyta; Magnoliopsida; Poales; Poaceae
Description: partial small subunit ribosomal RNA
Source: RNAcentral
CAAGAUUAUCAGCCCCUCGUCUCUGCCUUGGACGCUCGCGUCACUCCGGUAACCCUUGACGAGCUCUUUGCCAUGCUUAGCAAUUUUGAUCAGCGCAUGGCGCAGUACCACGGCUCCGGUGGCGGCUUCAAGUCCUCGGCAAACUCCGUCUCCAGAGGCCGCGGUGGCGGCUCUCGCUCUCGUUCUUCCUCUCGUGGCAAGGGGAGGUUUGGAUCCGACGGCGGCGGCUACUCCAACAACACUUGUGGCGGCGGACGCUCUGGCUCAUGA